Molecule: non-coding RNA, 123 nt
Organism: Picea glauca (white spruce)
Lineage: Eukaryota; Viridiplantae; Streptophyta; Pinopsida; Pinales; Pinaceae
Source: Rfam
AUAGGUAAUUUUACUCGCAUUAAUGCAUUGAACUCCAUAAGAGCAAGAUCCAUAGUUAAAAGCACUUGGGAUAGAGUAGUACUCGGAUGGGUGACCUCCGAGGAAGUCUGAAUGUUGCACUCU